GCAUAUCAAUAAGCGGAGGAAAAGAAAAUAACAAUGAUUUCCCUAGUAACGGCGAGUGAAGAGGAAAGAGCUCAAAGUUGGAACCUGUUUGGCCUAGCUAAACCGGAUUGUAGACUGUAGAAGUGUUUUCCAGGCAAGCCGAGUAAAUAAGUCCUUUGGAACAGGGCAUCAUAGAGGGUGAGAAUCCCGUCUUUGGCUUGAGUUGCCUUUUGUGAUACGCUUUCAAAGAGUCAGGUUGUUUGGGAAUGCAGCCUAAAUUGGGUGGUAAAUCUCACCUAAAGCUAAAUAUUGGCGAGAAACCGAUAGCGAACAAGUACCGUGAGGGAAAGAUGAAAAGAACUUUGAAAAGAGAGUUAAACAGUAUGUGAAAUUGUUAAAAGGGAACCGUUUGGAGCCAGACUGGCUUGUCUGUAAUCAAUCUAGGCUUCGGCCUGGAUGCACUUGCAGGCUAUGCCUGCCAACGACAAUUUGACUUGAGGGAAAAAACUAGGGGAAAUGUGGCCCACUUGUGGGUGUUAUAGUCCCUUAGAAAAUACCUUGGGUUGGAUUGAGGAACGCAGCGAAUGCUUAUUGGCGAGUUUUCCAGGAGUUUUCUGAGGUACUACGGUAUCAAGGUUGAUCUUUUUGGUUAUACUUCUAUUCGCUUAGGUUGUUGGCUUAAUGACUCUAAAUGACCCGUCUUGAAACACGGACCAAGGAGUCCACCAUUAGUGCGAGUAUUUGGGUGCCAAACCCAUAUGCGUAAGGAAACUGAUUGAUACGAAUCCAUUAAGGAGGCAGUAUCGUCCGGCGCUGACGUUUUAUACUGAAUUGACCGAGACAAAGCACUAAUGAUGGGACCCGAAAGAUGGUGAACUAUGCCUGAAUAGGGUGAAGCCAGAGGAAACUCUGGUGGAGGCUCGUAGCGAUUCUGACGUGCAAAUCGAUCGUCAAAUUUGGGUAUAGGGGCGAAAGACRAAUCGAACCAUGUAGCUGGUCCUG
This 981-nucleotide ribosomal RNA is filed under the name Rhizopus arrhizus. Its description in RNAcentral is "partial large subunit ribosomal RNA". The record is from RNAcentral. Lineage: Eukaryota; Fungi; Mucoromycota; Mucoromycetes; Mucorales; Rhizopodaceae.